UAUCUCUUCGUAAUAAAACAA
RNAcentral lists this non-coding RNA (21 nucleotides) under Caenorhabditis elegans. The record is from RNAcentral. Lineage: Eukaryota; Metazoa; Nematoda; Chromadorea; Rhabditida; Rhabditidae.